RNAcentral lists this transfer RNA (65 nucleotides) under marine eukaryotic metagenome. It matches the Rfam family "tRNA". From Rfam's summary of the family: Transfer RNA (tRNA) molecules are approximately 80 nucleotides in length. Their secondary structure includes four short double-helical elements and three loops (D, anti-codon, and T loops). Further hydrogen bonds mediate the characteristic L-shaped molecular structure. tRNAs have two regions of fundamental functional importance: the anti-codon, which is responsible for specific mRNA codon recognition, and the 3' end, to which the tRNAs corresponding amino acid is attached (by aminoacyl-tRNA synthetases). tRNAs cope with the degeneracy of the genetic code in two manners: having more than one tRNA (with a specific anti-codon) for a particular amino acid; and 'wobble' base-pairing, i.e. permitting non-standard base-pairing at the 3rd anti-codon position. The record is from RNAcentral.
GGUGUAGCCAAGCGGUAAGGCACCGGUUUUUGAUACCGGCAUGCGCAGGUUCGAAUCCUGCCACC